Gallus gallus (chicken) is the source of this 746-nucleotide long non-coding RNA. The record is from Ensembl. NCBI's taxonomy places the organism in Eukaryota, Metazoa, Chordata, Aves, Galliformes, Phasianidae.
UCCUACCUUUGACUCUUAAUGUUUGACCCAGGUUACGCAAAGAUCUCAUUUCGGUUUCCCUGUAACGUUAAGAUUGGCACUCGAGAAUCCGUAGCGAAAUGAAAUGAAAUCAUGGGACUUAGAGACUCCACAAGUCUGGAAUUUAAUCUCAGCACCUGUUACUCUGAUCUAGGGAUGAGGCAAAGACUUCGCUAAGUUAUGGCUCCAUGCAGGACAAAGGAGAAGAAAAAUGGUGGUGACCCAGCAAAGAGCACACGGGACCUGGGGUCGGUGCGGAGGAGGAAAACGGAGGCAGGUGUCAGAGUGUGGCGAAGCGGACCUAAGCACAGGAACGGAGAGCCGAACGUAGGAAGGCGAUAGUUGUACCUUGCGUUGACGCUGCCCUGUAGUCCACCUGCACAGCCCCUGCUUGACCUUGUCAGCCCUUCUCCUCCUUCGAUCCCGCCGUAAGGAGAACCGCAGGCCUCGCUAUCUCUGAGAACCAUCACGGCCCUUCCCCACAUCCCGGCCACAGCGCUCGUGGCAGUACUGCGAGCGGUGAGCGACUUCCACGCCAUCCAAGUGGCGGGGCCGCCACCAUUCUAAGUCACACUUCCACCUCGGCCUCUCAGCACCGCUCCCCUCCUGCCGGCGGCCUCGGCGUGGAGACCAAGCUCUGACCCGGCCCCGAGCUCCGAGGAGCCCAACGGCGCGAAGCCGGGACGGGAACCCCCGGCCAGGACCGGGAGCUGCCCGCGGGACCUCCC